This is a long non-coding RNA of Stegodyphus dumicola, 449 nucleotides long. Lineage: Eukaryota; Metazoa; Arthropoda; Arachnida; Araneae; Eresidae. The record is from RefSeq and is a predicted model, not a curated record.
AAGUCGCAAAGAAUACUGUUUGUUCGUGGACUGGCGUUUGUGACUGAAUCCAUCGAAUGUUACUAAUUAUUUGAAGAAAUCUGGGGAGUCAGCACCCUGCUGAAUUGUAGUAAACGAAGACGUCCAAUCUACUAGACCAUCAAAGAUGCAGAUUUGGAUUUUCUAUUUCAUAGUUAUUGAAAUCAUAAUGAGAAUGAAGUACUGCCACUAAGGUAAAGGUGCUAACUUGCAAGGUAAUUUUCUAUUCUACAUUAACUCAAUCUUUAUGUCCUGUUACAGAUAUAUUGGCAGAAAUAAUGAAAACCUGACAUUCAAAAAGAAAAAUAAUAAUGUUGAAUGUAGUAUAUUAGAUGGUUAACUGCGGUUUGGCAGCUCAUUAAUAAUCUUACACAUAUUGAGUACGAAUAACUUUGACAAUUACCGGUAUUUUCAAUAGUAUAAAAUUAGGC